Molecule: long non-coding RNA, 2879 nt
Organism: Salvia splendens (bonfire salvia)
Lineage: Eukaryota; Viridiplantae; Streptophyta; Magnoliopsida; Lamiales; Lamiaceae
Exons: 2
Source: RefSeq, a predicted model, not a curated record
UUUGGCUAAGAUCAAGUGUAGUAUCUGUUCUUAUCAGUUUAAUAUCUGAUAUGUGGGCCAUUGGCUCACACGAUAUUGAAUUUAUUUUUUGAGGGGGAAGGCCUAUCAAAGUAGCUUGCUACUUGGGCCUUCAAGUGUCGCUCAUGUGUUGCACUAUUGCACGGGCCUGGCGCACCCCACCAAUUUGAGUUUAAUCUUUGCUUGUUAAAUUCUUUGAUUGCAUUCAACAAAUUUCUCUAUGUGGUAACAAAAUGUAGAGUUUUAUGAACCUAGUUAAUCGGCUUUUUGGAUGAUGUACUAUUGUUUAAAAUUUUGGAAGUUUUUGUAUAGAAUCAGCAUCUGCUGAGAAUUUGAUGUGCUUCAUGCUUUACUGAUUUUGGAUUAUUGCUGUCUGAUUCUGUCUGUUGAUUUGCUAUGAUUCUUUGUGGGGUAUAAAGUAGGUCCUAAAUCCUAAUGCACUCUUAAGAAUCCAGUCUGAAGAAAUAGUUCGACAAGACCGCAUUGAUCGCCCGACACACAAGUAACUGGAAAAACCAGCCAUCUGAUACUGAUAUGGAGGGAAAAGCAGCUACUGGAGAUUAACUGUAGACAAACUUUAUAAGCAUAUAGGUUUAUUAACAUUGCAGGUUGUUCUUAGAGAUUUUCUCAACCGAUUUCAGCCAGACGAUUCUCAUAUCAAGAAUGGAAGAGUUCGCGGUUGGAUUCGAAACAAGAAGGGUUCAUAUUAUCCCACAUCCAAGAUGAGAAGAUAGUUAUAUUUGAAACAACUUUAUAAAAGAGGAGGUGCGUAGAUGUUGAAGCUCAUACCUUUCUCGGCCUUUUGGCUAAGAUCAAGUGUAGUAUCUGUUCUUAUCAGUUUAAUAUCUGAUAUGUGGGCCAUUGGCUCACACGAUAUUAAAUUUAUUUUUUGAGGGGGAAGGCCUAUCAAGGUAGCUUGCUACUUGGGCCUUCAAGUAUCGCCCAUGUGUUGCACUAUUGCACGGGCCUGGUGCACCCCACCAAUUUUAGUCUAAUGUUUUUUGUAUUAUAUAUGCAUCAACUUUAAUUUGUCUUACUCAUGUAAAAUCUGGAAAUUCUGAGGAUGAAAAUGGUAAACUAUAUAAUUUCAAUCACAACUAGUUAACUACUUACUGACUGGGGGGUGUAACCUGCACAUCAUGUAUGAAGCUAAGAAUGUUCCAACAAAUUGAUUCCAUUUCCAUGUACACUUCUUGGACUGGAAAAUGUAAUCGUAAGCUUUUUCGAGCUAGGAAAUUUAAUGCAGCUGAGUGGCCCGAGGAGAAUCUAGUUGAAGAAAUAGUUCGAACAGACAGCGCUGAUCGCCCGACUAACAAGUAACUGGGAAAAUUAGCCGUAGGAAUAUAUUACAAGUUUACAACAGUACAAAACCAGUUUAAAGUUGUAUUUCAAGAUAAAUGGGGUAUUUUGGGGUUGUGUUGGACAAGUGUAGAAUAUAGUCAAUAUAUUGUACAUAAGAAAGAAAGCAAAUUGUGAUAUGAAAAGGGAUGUGUAUCCUAAUUGUUCUUUUUAGGUUGCUCUUCUCAUAGAGAUGUGAGGUGUAAGAAAGAACCAUCAAAUCUAUUGAAUUUAAAUUCUUUAUAUUUAAACUAUACAGUUUUUCAUUCUUAUUUGUCCUAGCUUUGACCCAGUUCAUAGAUUGCAACUUCCUACUAUCAUUCACAAAGAGACUUAUUAUCCCACAUCGGACAUGAGAAAGAAAUUAUCUUCAAAAACUAAGUACUAUAAAAUAGGAGGUGUGUAGAUUUAGAAGUUCAUACCUUUCUCGGCCUUUUGGCUAAGAUCAAGUGUAGUAUCUGUUCUUAUCAGUUUAAUAUCUGAUAUGUGGAUCAUUGAUCCACACGAUAUUAAAUUUAUUUUUUGAGGGGGAAGAUCCGUCAAAGUAGCUUGCUACUUGGAUCUUUGAUUGUCGUCCAUGCGUUGCACUAUUGCACGGGCCUGGCACACCCCACCAAUUCGAGUCCAAUCUUAACUUUGUUAUUGCACCUACAUUUCUUUUUUUCUUUGUUAAUAGAACUGUGAUCAAUACCAUAUAAUGUCUCGUUUUACUUGUAGUUUUUCCUUUGUCUUUACUCAGUAGGUUUUUUAUAUAGAUUUAUAGAUAUUUAUAUCAGUACAUGGCCACUGAUUAUCUCUUUGCAGCAGCAUCAGUAAUGUAACAAUCAAAUAUUUGUAAGAAUGCAGUAACAUCUUCUUCUGUAAUGGUUCAUCAAAUUGAUUCCAUUUCCAUGUUGGCUUCUUGGACUGGAAAAUGUAAUCAGAAGCUUUUAUGGGCUAAGAAAUUUGAAUGCAGCUGCGUGGGCCGAGGAGAAUCCAGUUGAAGAUAUAGUUCGAACGGACAGCGCUGAUCUCCCGACAAACAAGUAACUGGGAAAAUCAGCGAUCUGAUAAUACUACAUUACAAAAUCAGUUUAAGUUGUUUUUCAAGACAAAUGGGACAUUUUCUGGUUGUGUUGGAAGACUAUAGAAUUUAGAUAAGAAAGAAAGCAAAUUGUGAUAGGGAUAGGAUGUGUUCUUUUGAGGUUCCUCUAUAGAGUUCAAUUUUUUUUUAAAACUACAAAUUGUCAUUCAUAUUUGACCUUGCCUUGUAUUAUCAGUUCGUAAAUUUCAAUUUCUUAGUAGUCAUUUACAAAAGAGCUCCAUGUAAAAACAAGAAGACAUUUUGUCCCACAUCGGAUAAGAGUAUAAAGGUAUCUUCAAAAACUAAGUACUAUAAAAGAGGAGGUGUGUAGCUGUAGAAUCUCAUACCUUUCUCGGCCUUUUGGCUAAGAUCAAGUGUAGUAUCUGUUCUUAUCAGUUUAAUAUCUGAUAUGUGGGCCAUUGGCUCACACGAUAUUAAAUUUAUUUUUUGAGCGGGAAGG